UGGGGAAUUGUUCGCAAUGGGCGAAAGCCUGACGACGCAACGCCGCGUGGAGGACGAAGAUCUUCGGGUCGUAAACUCCUGUCGAGCGGGAAGAAAGCUCCACGACCGAAUACGUUGUGGAAGUGACGGUACCGCUAAAGGAAGCCCCGGCUAACUCCGUGCCAGCAGCCGCGGUAAUACGGGGGGGGCAAGCGUUGUUCGGAAUUACUGGGCGUAAAGGGCUCGUAGGCGGCCAACUAAGUCGGAUGUGAAAUCCCCAGGCUUAACCUGGGAACUGCAUCCGAUACUGGAUGGCUUGAAUUCGGGAGAGGGAUGCAGAAUUCCAGGUGUAGCGGUGAAAUGCGUAGAUAUCUGGAGGAAUACCGGUGGCGAAGGCGGCAUCCUGGACCGACAUUGACGCUGAGGAGCGAAAGCUAGGGGAGCAAACGG
RNAcentral lists this ribosomal RNA (429 nucleotides) under uncultured bacterium. RNAcentral describes it as "bacterial SSU rRNA". It matches the Rfam family "Bacterial small subunit ribosomal RNA", at positions 355 to 775 of the family's 1533-position model. The record is from RNAcentral.